GCGCCCUUAGCUCAGUUGGAUAGAGCGUCUGACUACGAAUCAGAAGGUCGGGAGUUCGAAUCUCUCAGGGCGCGCCA
RNAcentral lists this transfer RNA (77 nucleotides) under Acidobacteriota bacterium. RNAcentral's name for it is "Acidobacteria bacterium (rhizosphere metagenome) tRNA-Arg". It matches the Rfam family "tRNA". Rfam says of the family: Transfer RNA (tRNA) molecules are approximately 80 nucleotides in length. Their secondary structure includes four short double-helical elements and three loops (D, anti-codon, and T loops). The record is from RNAcentral. RNAcentral also lists the same sequence under 2 other names. Lineage: Bacteria; Pseudomonadati; Acidobacteriota.